GACGAACGCUGGCGGCGUGCUUAACACAUGCAAGUCGAACGGAAAGGCCCUUCUUUUGUGGGGUGCUCGAGUGGCGAACGGGUGAGUAACACGUGAGUAACCUGCCCUUGACUUUGGGAUAACUUCAGGAAACUGGGGCUAAUACCGGAUAGGAGCUCCUGCUGCAUGGUGGGGGUUGGAAAGUUUCGGCGGUUGGGGAUGGACUCGCGGCUUAUCAGCUUGUUGGUGGGGUAGUGGCUUACCAAGGCCUUGACGGGUAGCCGGCCUGAGAGGGUGACCGGCCACAUUGGGACUGAGAUACGGCCCAGACUCCUACGGGAGGCAGCAGUGGGGAAUAUUGCACAAUGGGCGGAAGCCUGAUGCAGCAACGCCGCGUGCGGGAUGACGGCCUUCGGGUUGUAAACCGCUUUCGCCUGUGACGAAGCGUGAGUGACGGUAAUGGGUAAAGAAGCACCGGCUAACUACGUG
Molecule: ribosomal RNA, 468 nt
Filed under: uncultured bacterium
Lineage: Bacteria
Description: partial 16S ribosomal RNA
Rfam family: Bacterial small subunit ribosomal RNA
Source: RNAcentral